UGGGAUUCAACCUAGGUUUGACUGUGUCUCUCUUUCUUCUAGUAGUCAUGGUGUGAGUGUUUUGAGGAUGUAAUUUGAGGCGACUAGCUUCUGGAACCAGGAUCAGAAGAAGAGGAUGAUAAACUAACAAAAGAAUUGGGUUUGGGUUGUUAUGAGGAGAACCAUGUGAGGAGUGUGAGAUAUUGUUUGAAGGAGUGAUU
This 200-nucleotide long non-coding RNA is filed under the name Lathyrus oleraceus (garden pea). RNAcentral describes it as "Pisum sativum (pea) long non-coding RNA (PSAT_LNC022940)". The record is from RNAcentral. Lineage: Eukaryota; Viridiplantae; Streptophyta; Magnoliopsida; Fabales; Fabaceae.